UACAGAGGUCUCAAGCGUUGUUCGGAUUCAUUGGGCGUAAAGGGUGUGUAGGUGGCGCGCUAAGUCGGGUGUGAAAUUUCGGAGCUUAACUCCGAAACUGCAUUUGAUACUGGCGUGCUUGAGGACUGGAGAGGAGACUGGAAUUCAUGGUGUAGCAGUGAAAUGCGUAGAGAUCAUGAGGAAGACCAGUGGCGAAGGCGGGUCUCUGGACAGUUCCUGACACUGAGGCACGAAGGCCAGGGGAGCAAACGGG
RNAcentral lists this ribosomal RNA (253 nucleotides) under uncultured bacterium. Its description in RNAcentral is "partial 16S ribosomal RNA". It matches the Rfam family "Bacterial small subunit ribosomal RNA", at positions 524 to 776 of the family's 1533-position model. The record is from RNAcentral.